GGUCUAAUGGCCCAAUGGCAAGGCGCUUGACUUCGACCUCAUUAGGUAGAUACUAAGAGGUUGAAGAUUCAACCCCCUCUUAGAUCU
Ophiobolus disseminans is the source of this 87-nucleotide non-coding RNA. NCBI's taxonomy places the organism in Eukaryota, Fungi, Ascomycota, Dothideomycetes, Pleosporales, Phaeosphaeriaceae. The record is from the annotation of a GenBank genome assembly.